UACGGAGGGGGUUAGCGUUGUUCGGAAUGACUGGGCGUAAAGCGCGCGUAGGCGGAUCGUUAAGUCGGGGGUGAAAUCCCGGGGCUCAACCCCGGAAUGGCCUUCGAUACUGGCGGUCUUGAGUUCGAGAGAGGUGAGUGGAAUUCCGAGUGUAGAGGUGAAAUUCGUAGAUAUUCGGAGGAACACCAGUGGCGAAGGCGGCUCACUGGCUCGAUACUGACGCUGAGGUGCGAAAGCGUGGGGAGCAAACAGG
Molecule: ribosomal RNA, 253 nt
Filed under: uncultured bacterium
Lineage: Bacteria
Description: partial 16S ribosomal RNA
Rfam family: Bacterial small subunit ribosomal RNA
Source: RNAcentral